GGUCUAUUCGUCUAUCGGUUAGGACAAGAGAUUUUCAUUCUCUAAAGGGCGGUUCGAUUCCGCCAUAGACUACAA
Molecule: transfer RNA, 75 nt
Filed under: Prevotellaceae bacterium
Lineage: Bacteria; Pseudomonadati; Bacteroidota; Bacteroidia; Bacteroidales; Prevotellaceae
Description: tRNA-Glu
Rfam family: tRNA
About the family: Transfer RNA (tRNA) molecules are approximately 80 nucleotides in length. Their secondary structure includes four short double-helical elements and three loops (D, anti-codon, and T loops).
Source: RNAcentral